UUAUCACCAACAGUGUCAUUGGCCCCGGCUGCCACAUUGGUGAUAACGUGGUACUGGACCAGACCUACCUGUGGCAGGGUGUUCGAGUGGCGGCUGGAGCACAGAUCCAUCAGUCUCUGCUUUGUGACAAUGCUGAGGUCAAGGAACGAGUGACACUGAAACCACGCUGUGUCCUCACUUCCCAGGUGGUCGUGGGCCCAAACAUCACGCUGCCUGAGGGCUCGGUGAUCUCUUUGCAUGCUCCAGAUGCAGAGGAAGAUGAAGAUGAUGGCGAGUUCAGUGAUGACUCUGGGGCUGACCAAGAAAAGGACAAAGUGAAGAUGAAAGGUGUGAGACUUGACAGGUUACAAUCCAGCAGAAGUAGGAGCUGCUGGCAAGGGCUACCUCUGGAAAGCUGCAGGCAUGAACGUGGAGGAAGAGGAGGAACUGCAGCAGAAUCUGUGGGGACUCAAGAUCAACAUGGAAGAAGAGAGUGAAAGUGAAAGUGAGCAAAGUAUGGAUUCUGAGGAGCCGGACAGCCGGGGAGGCUCCCCUCAGAUGGAUGACAUCAAAG
RNAcentral lists this small RNA (553 nucleotides) under Pongo abelii (Sumatran orangutan). Its description in RNAcentral is "processed transcript". Lineage: Eukaryota; Metazoa; Chordata; Mammalia; Primates; Hominidae. The record is from RNAcentral.